This 434-nucleotide ribosomal RNA is filed under the name uncultured bacterium. RNAcentral describes it as "partial 16S ribosomal RNA". It matches the Rfam family "Bacterial small subunit ribosomal RNA", at positions 29 to 506 of the family's 1533-position model. The record is from RNAcentral.
AGCGAACGCUGGCGGCAUGCUUAACACAUGCAAGUCGCACGGAUCUUUCGGGAUCAGUGGCGGACGGGUGAGUAACGCGUAGGGAUCUAUCCAUGGGUGGGGGACAACUCCGGGAAACUGGAGCUAAUACCGCAUGAUACCUGAGGGUCAAAGGCGCAAGUCGCCUGUGGAGGAACCUGCGUUCGAUUAGCUAGUUGGUGGGGUAAAGGCCUACCAAGGCGAUGAUCGAUAGCUGGUUUGAGAGGAUGAUCAGCCACACUGGGACUGAGACACGGCCCAGCCUCCUAGGGGGGGCGGCAGUGGGGAAUAUUGGACAGUGGGCGAAAGCCUGACCCAGCAAGGCCGGGUUGGUGAAGAAGGUUUUCGGAUUGAAAAGCCCUUUCGCCGGGGACGAUGAUGCCGUGCCCCGUAGAAGAAACCCCGGCAAACUUCGG